Molecule: non-coding RNA, 82 nt
Organism: Hydractinia symbiolongicarpus
Lineage: Eukaryota; Metazoa; Cnidaria; Hydrozoa; Anthoathecata; Hydractiniidae
Source: the annotation of a RefSeq genome assembly
GACAAGGUGACCGAGUGGUUUAGGCGAUGGACUGGUAGUCCAUUGGGCGCUGCCCGCGUGGGUUUGAAUCCCAUCUUUGUCG